GGCCCACCUGUCGGCGCCAUCUUCUACCUGCCGCGCCUUGCCCUACCCUCUCGCUGCAACGGCCGCCACGAUUUCCCCCCGCCGCCCCGCCCUGGUGCAUCAUCCCGCACCCGCGCGCCCAUCCUUAUCCAGCCCGCACCCGGCCGGCCUUAUCCCCUCACGCGCAGAGCUCCACCGCAUCCGUUUCAACCCCACACCGGCCCUUUACCCCGGCGAGCAAUUGCUCUGCCGAAGCGCCCCAAUCGGCGACUAAGACGCCACCAAUGGACUCACCUCGACUCGGCGAACACGCUGCGAUAUCCCCUGGGCGAGCGCAUCGCCCGGAGCCGCCUGUCGCCGUCGACCUUACGCCGCCGCCGCUUCUUCUUCGACACCGGCCACAUCCUUCGCCCGCCGACGAGAAAGAGUCAAGACGAAGAAUACUUGAGGCCGGGGUGUGCAAGAUCAGGAAGGUGGUGCAGGAGGCAUACUCGCGAAGCCAUGGCUGGCAGCUGCUACGACGACGACUGGGUGGUUGAUUUGGCAGUGUAUCAGUUCUGGUUUAUGUGUGUGUGUUGGGUGUCUGUACUGAGGUAUCACUUUUGCUGAGUUUUGCUUUUGCUCAACUGUAUGCCAGAUCAGGGGAUCUUUGGCCGUUUAUCUGUAUUUCUCUUUGUAGCUGGUUUUAGUUUUGCCCUGUGCAAAAACUGGAACGCUGUAAUAACUGUUGAGCGGUUUCUCUAAUGGAAAUCGGUGGGGAGGCCCACUAGUUCAAAAAAAAAAAUUCCAAGAAAA
Molecule: long non-coding RNA, 774 nt
Organism: Brachypodium distachyon (stiff brome)
Lineage: Eukaryota; Viridiplantae; Streptophyta; Magnoliopsida; Poales; Poaceae
Exons: 2
Source: RefSeq, a predicted model, not a curated record